GGUGCGGUGGGCCGGUCUCCGGCCGGCGGCGGCCAGCCGCCGGCCGGAGUCCACGCGCUGGAUCGUCCGGCGCGGCGGCCGGGCGCCGCCGCC
RNAcentral lists this transfer RNA (93 nucleotides) under Plantactinospora mayteni. RNAcentral describes it as "tRNA-Gly". The record is from RNAcentral. Lineage: Bacteria; Bacillati; Actinomycetota; Actinomycetes; Micromonosporales; Micromonosporaceae.